GGAGACAUACCCAAGUCGGCCGAAGGGGGCAGUUUGCUAAACUGUUAGGUCCCGCAAGGGGCGCGAGGGUUCGAAUCCCUCUGUCUCCGCCA
This 92-nucleotide transfer RNA is filed under the name Clostridia bacterium. RNAcentral describes it as "tRNA-Ser". It matches the Rfam family "tRNA". Rfam says of the family: Transfer RNA (tRNA) molecules are approximately 80 nucleotides in length. Their secondary structure includes four short double-helical elements and three loops (D, anti-codon, and T loops). Further hydrogen bonds mediate the characteristic L-shaped molecular structure. tRNAs have two regions of fundamental functional importance: the anti-codon, which is responsible for specific mRNA codon recognition, and the 3' end, to which the tRNAs corresponding amino acid is attached (by aminoacyl-tRNA synthetases). tRNAs cope with the degeneracy of the genetic code in two manners: having more than one tRNA (with a specific anti-codon) for a particular amino acid; and 'wobble' base-pairing, i.e. permitting non-standard base-pairing at the 3rd anti-codon position. The record is from RNAcentral. Lineage: Bacteria; Bacillati; Bacillota; Clostridia.